This 466-nucleotide ribosomal RNA is filed under the name uncultured bacterium. RNAcentral's name for it is "partial 16S ribosomal RNA". It matches the Rfam family "Bacterial small subunit ribosomal RNA", at positions 28 to 507 of the family's 1533-position model. The record is from RNAcentral.
GAUGAACGCUGGCGGCGUGCUUAACACAUGCCAGUCGAACGAUGAAGCCCAGCUUGCUGGGUGGAUUAGUGGCGAACGGGUGAGUAACACGUGAGUAACCUGCCCUUAACUCUGGGAUAAGCCUGGGAAACUGGGUCUAAUACCGGAUAGGAGCGUCCACCGCAUGGUGGGUGUUGGAAAGAUUUAUCGGUUUUGGAUGGCCUAGCGGCCUAUCAGCUUGUUGGUGAGGUAUUGGCUCACCAAGGCGACGCCGGGUAGCCGGCCUGGGAGGGUGACCGGCCACACUGGGACUGAGACACGGCGCAGACUCCUACGGGAGGCAGCAGUGGGGAAUAUUGCACAAUGGGCGCAAGCCUGAUGCAGCGACGCCGCGUGAGGGAUGACGGCCUUCGGGUUGUAAACCUCUUUCAGUAGGGAAGAAGCGAAAGUGACGGUACCUGCAGAAGAAGCACCGGCUAACUACGUG